AAAUCUCCUGCUCAUCUCCUAACAGGGUUUCCACCUCGUGGUGCUGCCUCAUACCCACCUCCUGAACGUGCAGGUGGUGUUGCAGACCCAUAAGGAACAUUAUUUCCGGAUGGCACCUGUCCAUGGGGGCCAGGGGCAGCUCUGGUAGGUGCAUCAUAGUUAGUGCCCCUGGGUGCAUCAUAAACCGGUCCUCUCUGCCCAUCAUAAGCUGGCCCUCUCUGUGCAUCAUAACCAGGUCCCUUUUGAGCAUCAUAACCAGGCCCUCUCUGUGGAUCAUAACCAGGUCCUCUUGGUGCAUCAUAGCCAGGUCCUCUAGGUGCAUCAUAGCCGGGUCCUCUAGGUCCAUCAUAACCAGGUCUGCUAGCAGCAGGGCCAGAUUGAGGUCCAGCAUAAGCAGGAGUACCACCACCACCACCACCACCACCUGCAGCAGCAACACCACCACCU
RNAcentral lists this long non-coding RNA (447 nucleotides) under Vitis vinifera (wine grape). Its description in RNAcentral is "long non-coding RNA (VVIN_LNC004774)". Lineage: Eukaryota; Viridiplantae; Streptophyta; Magnoliopsida; Vitales; Vitaceae. The record is from RNAcentral.